RNAcentral lists this long non-coding RNA (544 nucleotides) under Zonotrichia albicollis (white-throated sparrow). RNAcentral's name for it is "lncRNA (ENSZALG00000009538.1)". Lineage: Eukaryota; Metazoa; Chordata; Aves; Passeriformes; Passerellidae. The record is from RNAcentral.
AUGGUUUCCAGUUAAACAGGACAUUGUGCAAGAGUCAUAGACCUCUUAAUCCUCCAUCUUUAUAACUGGAUAUUUUGGCAUCACUAGGAUGUGACAGGCAGAGUCUACCCUGGACAAUGACACUGGGAAUGAAGCUGUUUUGAAUGCUGUCCAUAGGGAGUGAUGGAAAAUGCAGUCUUAAAAAAAGUGACUUUUAGGUUAGAUUUCCUCAGCAUUCUGUGUCCAACUGUUUGCUCAGUGAGAUAAGAAAAGUGCUAUAGCUGUGAGUAAAUACUCCAGGCUUUAAGGAAAUCCUGAAGACUUGUUGCAGAAUUACACAAUGGGGGAUUUGGGAACUGAGCACACUUCUGCCAGCACUGACCAGGAUCAGAGGUUAUCAGAGAUGAAGGAGAGGAUGCUCAGCAGUGAUAAAUGAACCUGGCACUUCUGACCCUGACCUCCUACCAGGAGUGGACAAGGAGGGUCCUGGAGCUCAGGGAGAAACAACGAUAACAAGUGAUGUGCCAGAAAAGGUCAUAGAAUAAGAAUGGAGACUCUCGCUUGU